RNAcentral lists this ribosomal RNA (500 nucleotides) under uncultured bacterium. RNAcentral describes it as "partial 16S ribosomal RNA". It matches the Rfam family "Bacterial small subunit ribosomal RNA", at positions 30 to 523 of the family's 1533-position model. The record is from RNAcentral.
AUUGAACGCUGGCGGCAUGCCUUACACAUGCAAGUCGAACGGCAGCACGGGAGCAAUCCUGGUGGCGAGUGGCGAACGGGUGAGUAAAGUAUCGGAACGUGCCCAGUCGUGGGGGAUAACGUAGCGAAAGUUACGCUAAUACCGCAUACGAUCUAUGGAUGAAAGCGGGGGAUCGCAAGACCUCGCGCGAUUGGAGCGGCCUAUAUCAAAUUAGGUAGUUGGUGGGGUAAAGGCUCACCAAGCCGACGAUCUGUAGCUGGUCUGAGAGGACGACCAGCCAAACGGGGACCGAGACACGGCCAAGAGUCCUACGGAAGGCAGCAGUGGGGAAUUUUGGACAAUGGGCGAAAGCCUGAUCCAGCCAUGCCGCGUGCAGGAUGAAGGCCCUCGGGUUGUAAACUGCUUUUGUACGGAACGAAAAGGUUUGGCCUAAUAAGCUGAGCUCAUGACGGUACCGUAAGAAUAAGCACCGGCUAACUACGUGCCAGCCGCCGCCGUAA